RNAcentral lists this ribosomal RNA (385 nucleotides) under Pseudanabaena sp. CCY9702. Its description in RNAcentral is "bacterial SSU rRNA". It matches the Rfam family "Bacterial small subunit ribosomal RNA", at positions 1151 to 1533 of the family's 1533-position model. The record is from RNAcentral. Lineage: Bacteria; Bacillati; Cyanobacteriota; Cyanophyceae; Pseudanabaenales; Pseudanabaenaceae.
GCCGGUGACAAACCGGAGGAAGGUGGGGAUGACGUCAAGUCAUCAUGCCCCUUACGCCUUGGGCUACACACGUACUACAAUGGCCGGGACAAAGAGUCGCAAGCAUGCGAAUGCAAGCUAAUCUCAUAAACCCGGUCUUAGUUCAGAUUGCAGGCUGCAACUCGCCUGCAUGAAGGCGGAAUCGCUAGUAAUCGCAGGUCAGCAUACUGCGGUGAAUACGUUCCCGGGCCUUGUACACACCGCCCGUCACACCAUGGAAGCUGGUCACGCCCGAAGUCGUUAUCUCAACCCGCAAGGGAGGGAGGCGCCUAAGGCAGGGCUGGUGACUGGGGUGAAGUCGUAACAAGGUAGCCGUACCGGAAGGUGCGGCUGGAUCACCUCCUUA